AUUGAACGCUGGCGGCAGGCUUAGCACAUGCAAGUCGGACGGUAACAGGAGGAAAGCUUGCUUUCUUUGCUGACGAGUGGCGGACGGGUGAGUAAUGCUUGGGAAUCUGUUUUAUGGAGGGGGAUAACUACGGGAAACUGUAGCUAAUACCGCGUAAUAUCGAGAGAUUAAAGUGUGGGACCGUAAGGCCACAUGCCAUAGAGUGAGCCCAAGUGGGAUUAGGUAGUUGGUGGGGUAAAGGCCUACCAAGCCGUCGAUCUCUAGCUGGUCUGAGAGGAUGACCAGCCACACUGGGACUGAGACACGGCCCAGACUCCUACGGGAGGCAGCAGUGGGGAAUAUUGCACAAUGGGCGCAAGCCUGAUGCAGCCAUGCCGCGUGAAUGAAGAAGGCCUUCGGGUUGUAAAGUUCUUUCGGUGGUGAGGAAGGUUGUAAUGUUAAUAGCAUUAUAAUUUGACGUUAGCCACAGAAGAAGCACCGGCUAACUCCGUGCCAGCAGCCGCGGUAAUACGGAGGGUGCGAGCGUUAAUCGGAAUAACUGGGCGUAAAGGGCGCGCAGGCGGAUACUUAAGUGAGGUGUGAAAGCCCUGGGCUUAACCUAGGAAUUGCAUUUCAUACUGGGUAUCUAGAGUAUUUUAGGGAGGGGUAGAAUUCCACGUGUAGCGGUGAAAUGCGUAGAGAUGUGGAGGAAUACCGAAGGCGAAGGCAGCCCCUUGGGGGAAUACUGACGCUCAUGUGCGAAAGCGUGGGGAGCAAACAGG
RNAcentral lists this ribosomal RNA (761 nucleotides) under uncultured bacterium. RNAcentral describes it as "bacterial SSU rRNA". It matches the Rfam family "Bacterial small subunit ribosomal RNA", at positions 28 to 776 of the family's 1533-position model. The record is from RNAcentral.